This 224-nucleotide ribosomal RNA is filed under the name uncultured bacterium. RNAcentral describes it as "partial 16S ribosomal RNA". It matches the Rfam family "Bacterial small subunit ribosomal RNA", at positions 1268 to 1500 of the family's 1533-position model. The record is from RNAcentral.
CGAAUCUCGAAAGCCUGUCUCAGUUCGGAUUGGAGGCUGAAACCCGCCUCCAUGAAGUUGGAUUCGCUAGUAAUCGCGCAUCAGCCAUGGCGCGGUGAAUACGUUCCCGGGCCUUGUACACACCGCCCGUCAAGCCAUGGAAGCUGGGGGUGCCUGAAGUUCGUGACCGGAAGGAGCGACCUAGGGCAAAACCGGUGACUGGGGCUAAGUCGUAACAAGGUACC